GGAAUAUUGCACAAUGGGCGGAAGCCUGAUGCAGCGAUGCCGCGUGGAGGAAGAAGGUUUUCGGAUUGUAAACUCCUGAUCUGAGGGACGAUAAUGACGGUACCUCAGGAGAAAGCUCCGGCUAACUACGUGCCAGCAGCCGCGGUAAUACGUAGGGAGCGAGCGUUGUCCGGAAUUACUGGGUGUAAAGGGUGCGUAGGCGGGGCUGCAAGUCAGAUGUGAAAUGUAUGGGCUCAACCCAUGAACUGCAUUUGAAACUGUGGCUCUUGAGUGAGGUAGAGGUAAGCGGAAUUCCUAGUGUAGCGGUGAAAUGCGUAGAUAUUAGGAGGAACAUCGGUGGCGAAGGCGGCUUACUGGGCCUUUACUGACGCUGAGGCACGAAAGCGUGGGGAGCAAACA
RNAcentral lists this ribosomal RNA (399 nucleotides) under uncultured Ruminococcus sp. Its description in RNAcentral is "bacterial SSU rRNA". It matches the Rfam family "Bacterial small subunit ribosomal RNA", at positions 358 to 774 of the family's 1533-position model. Lineage: Bacteria; Bacillati; Bacillota; Clostridia; Eubacteriales; Oscillospiraceae. The record is from RNAcentral.